RNAcentral lists this ribosomal RNA (569 nucleotides) under uncultured bacterium. RNAcentral's name for it is "partial 16S ribosomal RNA". It matches the Rfam family "Bacterial small subunit ribosomal RNA", at positions 355 to 914 of the family's 1533-position model. The record is from RNAcentral.
UGGGGAAUCUUCCGCAAUGGACGAGAGUCUGACGGAGCAACGCCGCGUGAGUGAAGAAGGUUUUCGGAUCGUAAAACUCUGUCUUUUGGGGCGAACGUGAGUAUGGUGAACAAUCAUAGUCAGUGACGGUACCAAAGGAGGAAGCCACGGCUAACUACGUGCCAGCAGCCGCGGUAAUACGUAGGUGGCAAGCGUUGUCCGGAAUUAUUGGGCGUAAAGAGCGCGUAGGCGGGAUAGUCAGUCUGUUGUAAAAGUGCGGGGCUCAACCCCGUGAUGGCAAUGGAAACAGCUAUUCUUGAGUGCAGGAGAGGAAAGUGGAAUUCCCAGUGUAGCGGUGAAAUGCGUAGAUAUUGGGAGGAACACCAGUGGCGAAGGCGACUUUCUGGGCUGUGUCUGACGCUGAGGCGCGAAAGCCAGGGGAGCGAACGGGAUUAGAUACCCCGGUAGUCCUGGCCGUAAACGAUGGGUACUAGGUGUGGGAGGUAUCGACCCCUUCCGUGCCGGAGUUAACGCAAUAAGUACCCCGCCUGGGGAGUACGGUCGCAAGACUGAAACUCAAAUGAAUUGAC